AGAUACCUCAAAAGUGUGCCAACUUGAAAUUUUUUGUAUUAACUCGUUUUUUUAAUCAAACCGUUUAAUGUUAUUUUCUUUUAUUUCUUUAAACAUAAUCGGAUUUCAAAAUCAAACUUUAUUGGUUUUUCAACGCUAAAUAAUUGUUUUAAAUUUAUCUUUCCAAGUAUGCUAAUCAAUGCAUAUGGUUCUCAAUUUCAAUGGGAUGUACAAUUUAGCAAAGAUAUCAAAUUUAUCGUUUGUUUAUCAAAGCUAUUAUCAUUCUUUUUGACCAAAAGAAAUAAAUGAGAAAAUUUAUAAGAGCUGAGAAAUAAUGUAUCAAAUCAUUAGUUGAUGAGUAAUAUCACAAGAUUUUAAAAAUUAUUGCAAGUUAAACUAUUCUUAAGAUAUUUAAUUAGCUAUUUCUUCUUUUUUAGGUCUGGUUUUUGCUAUGUCGUGAAAGUAUUUAGAUAUUAAUUUAUUGCAGUUUCUAAUCAUGAUAAUAUCCUUAUUUUUAGGGUUUUUAUACAGUAUUAUAGAAUAUCAAUUUUAUUGAGACACUGUUCUGUGAAAUGAUUUGUUCUUAGUUUCUGACUAACAUGAAAGAUAUUAUGGCAAUACAGGGUUUUCAACAGUCGUGAGUUUUUUAUAAUGGCUAAUUUUGAUUAUUUAUCUUUUUCAGGCUCGGUUUUCGAGAUUUUUGCAGCUUUUUGUCAUGAAGGUUUUCCUACUUUAAUUGUCUCUUUUUCUAUAAUUUUUUAAUUAAUGAAAUUUAAUAUAGUCAAUUUUUUCAAAUCUUCCCUAGUCUAAUUGAUUCAUAGGAGGAGUUAUUUGAGGGACUCAGAGUAUAGGCACCCGAUUUACACGUUUCAGUUGUCAAAAGAACCAACAAGGGUUGCUCUUGCAUAAAAGCUAGAAUACCUGAAUGCUGCAAGUUGACAAAAAGUGAGAUAACAGCAAUGCAGUUGACAUCAUGGUAGGUCUUUGAAAUGCUGUUUCUUUACUACAUUGCUUAUCAUUAGGCAUAAAUGUGUCCCUCGUCUAAUUGUCUAAUUGUUUGAUUUUUUCUUUUGAGAUAUUGUGCUACUGCAAUGCAUUCUUCUUUACAAUUUGCUUCUGUUUUCCCAUGUCUAGUUUGUUGUAGCGUUUAAUAACACGCUUGAUUGAUUAACUGACAGUUUUCAGAGAUUUUUUUAAGAACUUAUUAAUUUAAUGGACUUCAAUGAUGUAUCGCUUUCAAUAUCAGCUAAGAUUGAAGAUUGGUAAGUGAAUGCUUAUUGACAAUUUAUACUUUUUUAUAGACGGGUAGCAGAUUAAUAUAGCUAUGAUCUGAUUAUUUGAUAUGUCGUUUAUAAAACCAGAAUACAGUUAUGCCUGGAAACUAUGCUUGCUAGAUUUCUUAUGAUUAUCAAGGUUUUUGUCACCAGCAUCAUCACAAGCACAAGUUAGGAAUGAUUGACUUAUAGGUUGCUGAUUCUUCGUAAAAUUUUUAAACUGAUU
Molecule: non-coding RNA, 1479 nt
Organism: Rhopilema esculentum
Lineage: Eukaryota; Metazoa; Cnidaria; Scyphozoa; Rhizostomeae; Rhizostomatidae
Source: RefSeq, a predicted model, not a curated record